This 502-nucleotide ribosomal RNA is filed under the name uncultured bacterium. RNAcentral's name for it is "partial 16S ribosomal RNA". It matches the Rfam family "Bacterial small subunit ribosomal RNA", at positions 29 to 507 of the family's 1533-position model. The record is from RNAcentral.
AGCGAACGCUGGCGGCGUGCCUAACACAUGCAAGUCGAACGUGAAAGGGAGCAAUCCCACGUAAAGUGGCGUACGGGUGAGUAACACGUAGGUAAUCUACCCCAGACUCUGGAAUAACCGGCCGAAAGGCUGGCUAAUACUGGAUAGAGCGACGGAAUCCGUAAUUGGGUUUUUCGGGAAAGGGAGCCUGUAAAAAGGCCUUCGUUCUGGGAUGAGCCUGCGUCCCAUCAGCUAGUUGGUGAGGUAAAAGCUUACCAAGGCAAUGACGGGUAGCUGGUCUGAGAGGGCGAUCAGCCACACUGGGACUGAAACACGGGCCAGACUCCUUCGGGAGGCAGCAGUGGGGAAUCUUGCGCAAUGGACGAAAGUCUGACGCAGCAACGCCGCGUGAGGGAAGAAGGCCUUCGGGUUGGAAAGCUCUGUCGAGUGGGACGAAAAUGCUUGGAGUUCACAGCUCCAGGAACUGACGGUACCAAUAAAGGAAGCACCGGCUAACUCCGUG